GGGGUCGUAGCCCAGCAUGGUAAGGCGACGGGCUCCAGACCCGUAGAUCGUGGGUUCAAGUCCCACCGACCCCA
Molecule: transfer RNA, 74 nt
Filed under: Nitrososphaerota archaeon
Lineage: Archaea; Thermoproteati; Nitrososphaerota
Also listed under: 1 other name
Description: tRNA-Trp
Rfam family: tRNA
About the family: Transfer RNA (tRNA) molecules are approximately 80 nucleotides in length.
Source: RNAcentral